AAAAAAAUAAUCAUUUUUGUUUUUCUCCUUCUUCGGUUCCGUCUCUCCUCUCUCUCUUUCUCCGACGACGAAAGCAAAACGAGAAGUGACGAUCCGUCACCGGCGCUGGCACCAUCGACGAUUUUUUCUAGUUCAUCAAAUCGGAACCAUGUCCGUUCACCCAAUCGGAGAUUCAAGUGGCCAAAAUCGGACAGUUUGGUUCAAUGAUGCUCCAAUCUCUUUAUCUGGGUUCUAUGAUGUUAGCAGAGUGGGAAUUGAGAAUUGGAGAUUGAUCAGAUCCUACUUGCUUCUGCUGAUGCUAACUUCACUAGUGGAGAGUUUGCUACUGCUUUGAGAAAUGUCAGCUCUAGGCUUUUCAAAUUUUCAGAAUUUUGGGAUUGUUGCUGUUGGAAGUUUUAUCUGAGAUUUGGGGAAAUAAGGGUUUGUAAUCUCUUUGCUUUAGAUGCUUUUAUGAAAUAGUGAGUUUUUAGUAUAUAUAUUGCUGCUCUUUUGAUGCUUGAGCUUUACUGAAAUUUUCCUUGUUUACUUAUUUGCAUGUCUGGGAUAUUCGUACCAAGAUGCAAAUUUUUGCACUCUCAGGACAUGAGAAUACCGUUUGUUCUGUUUUCACUUGUCCAACCGAUCCACAAGUUGUCACUAGAUCCCAUGACACGACCAUUUUUAUUGGGACCUUCGAUAUGGAUCUGUGAAGAUGUUCUCCGCUUAGAACAAGAUCAAGAAGGAUAAAAAUGCUGAACCAACAGAGUGCCAGGAGCAAGUUGCUCAGGCAUAUGGAUAUCUCUGGAAACCACAAAGUUGUUGUGAUUUAGUUACGUCCCAUUCAGAAGGAUAAUGCGUCCUCCCAAGAAAGGUGCUGCUGUUCAGAGGCCACGUAAUAGGACUCUAACCUCUGUUCAUGAAACAAUGCUCGAAGAUGUUGCUUUCCCCGCUGAGAUUGUUGGAAAGCGUACUUGUUACCGUCUUGAUGGUUCCAAGAUUAUCAAAUAUUUUUAGUUUGAAAACAAUAUUUUUCAAAAAUAAGAAUCUCAUUAAGAACUUGACCAUUGGAGGGGAUAA
Camelina sativa (false flax) is the source of this 1056-nucleotide non-coding RNA. The record is from RefSeq and is a predicted model, not a curated record. NCBI's taxonomy places the organism in Eukaryota, Viridiplantae, Streptophyta, Magnoliopsida, Brassicales, Brassicaceae.